RNAcentral lists this ribosomal RNA (508 nucleotides) under Nocardiopsis sp. RNAcentral's name for it is "bacterial SSU rRNA". It matches the Rfam family "Bacterial small subunit ribosomal RNA", at positions 89 to 598 of the family's 1533-position model. The record is from RNAcentral. Lineage: Bacteria; Bacillati; Actinomycetota; Actinomycetes; Streptosporangiales; Nocardiopsidaceae.
ACACGAGCGGCGAACGGGUGAGUAACACGUGAGCAACCUGCCCCUGACUCCGGGAUAAGCGGUGGAAACGCCGUCUAAUACCGGAUACGACCAUCCUCCUCCUGGAGGGUGGUGGAAAGUUUUUCGGUCAGGGAUGGGCUCGCGGCCUAUCAGCUUGUUGGUGGGGUAACGGCCUACCAAGGCGAUUACGGGUAGCCGGCCUGAGAGGGCGACCGGCCACACUGGGACUGAGACACGGCCCAGACUCCUGCGGGAGGCAGCAGUGGGGAAUAUUGCGCAAUGGGCGAAAGCCUGACGCAGCGACGCCGCGUGGGGGAUGACGGCCUUCGGGUUGUAAACCUCUUUUACCACCAACGCAGGCUCCCGGUUCUCCGGGGGUUGACGGUAGGUGGGGAAUAAGGACCGGCUAACUACGUGCCAGCAGCCGCGGUAAUACGUAGGGUCCGAGCGUUGUCCGGAAUUAUUGGGCGUAAAGAGCUCGUAGGCGGCGUGUCGCGUCUGCUGUGAA